Molecule: long non-coding RNA, 3532 nt
Filed under: Nicotiana tabacum (common tobacco)
Lineage: Eukaryota; Viridiplantae; Streptophyta; Magnoliopsida; Solanales; Solanaceae
Description: long non-coding RNA (NTAB_LNC002750)
Source: RNAcentral
UUUAAUUCCACUCGAUCCAAAGACCAACAUUCAAUCCCCCUUAUAGUAUUUAAAACCCCAAUUACCCGAUUUUUGCCCCCAUUUUUGCCCUAGUCUCUUCUCUUCCACUUCUCUCUUCACUCCCUCCCGUCCCUCAGACCUCUCUACUGGCCGCACAGUGGCUCCGCCGGCCGGAAAUCUCCAAUACUAGCCGGUCACCUCCAAUCACCACCAAAUUUUCAUUCCCCCUUAAUCUCAAUCCCCUCUUUCCCAUUACAAACUGCAAAUCCUCUAAACCCGCACCAAUCUCCACGAAUCUAGAAAAAACUGAAACCCUAGUCGCCCUUUUUUCCUCAAAUUCAUGAAGUUCUAGAUCACCCGAUGCUACAAUACCGACAUCAAUGGGUAGAGCUUCUCAAGACUUACCUAUUGAUGUCAAUUUCACUCUGAAACUCUGGCAAUAAAUUUUUUGACCACCCCCACCGCCAAUCCACCCUGCAACCACUACUGGCCCUUUAUUUUAGCCUAUUCCCGACCAAAAAUGCUCGUUUCUCUCUAGCACAACACUAGAAUUCAUUGGUUUAUGCGCGUGCUAGAAAAAAUGUCUGUUUCAAGGUCGGGCAGUUAUGGCUCGUCGUCCUUGGAAUCUCAUCGCUACUCGAAUUGGCGUCGAAUUCUCUCGUGUGGUAUAACUCUACCUCCAUCGUCUUUUCUUUUUCUGUUUUUUGUUAGUCAUUAGGUUUAGGUUUCAUUAAUUUCUUUGCUCGUUCUCUUUUUAUAUUACUGAUUCCUUGGUUUUAUAUGUAUGUCUGUACUAGUUAUAUUACUUAGUCGUUUAUCCUUAGCUUGUUUGGCUUAGACUUUGUUUGAUCAUUCACUGUAGUUACGUGUAAAUAUAUUAGGUUAGUAUAUGUUAAUCAUGAUUUCUUUUUUUCUUACCAGAUGGUAUAGUCUAUGAUUAUGAUAGAUUAAUUAAUAUUUGGUUCCAUUUAAACUAAUGUUUAGCCUUUUAGGUCCAAUAUGUUCAGUGUUUAGUCUAGUCUCGUUGCUGCAUUUUUGUGUUAAAUUAUUUGCUUAGCUAUAAAUAAAGCAAUCGAUUUAUUUGUGAUUAGGUUUAGGUUCUCAUUUCAGGUUUAGUAUUUCUGGUUUUGUAUAUGUUUAAGCUAAUUAGUUUAAGGCCUUAACUACAUAUUUUGUUUGAUUGUGGUCAUUAGGUUCUUUUGUUAGUUAAUGGUUCCAGUCUAGUUAUCUGAUUUUGCACCUCGUACUACUUUGAAGUACUAGUUUAGUUUGAUAUUGUUUUGUGAGGGUAGUAAAAGGAGGGUACUUGAGUAUAUGGCCUUUGUUAGGUUGCUUUUUACUUUUAGGGACUGUUUUACUCCAAAAUUCUAUCUACAGUUGAUAAGAAAACUGUUUCUUGGGUAGAUUUUUGGGUUUGGACAGAUUUUCUGUCAAAAAAAUUAUAAUUUUGGAUAGAUUGCACCAAGAAGUCCUUCCUCUCCUAUGUAAAGAGAAGUUCUUUCCUCACUUAGAAUACACAUCUCUACUCAUGGAAAAAAGAACAUAAUUUUGGGAGAAAAGUUUCAGUUGAAACUUCUUUUAGUAAGCUGAAAUUAUGAGCUUUAGGAGUGAGUCUUAGAGUGCAUAAUCUUUUCAGAAAAAUAGAAGAAUCUUAGAGUUUGUUUCUAAGUUCCUUCUCUUGAAAAGUCACUAGUUUUACUAAGAUUUUUGGACUGCUUUAGCACUGGUGAUUUUUACUGAUGUUCCUACUGCUGUUUCUACUGAUUUUCUACUGAAUUUCUAUUGCUGUAUUUUAUUAUUCUGCAAAUCAGGUAACUAUCAAAUUCUUAUAUUGCAAAUUCGUGAUGAAAUAAGAAGGAUUUGACCAUGGUUUGGCUGUUGAAACAUGUUAGAUGUGACUUGGUUCCAAAGAUGAAUGUUAUAUUAGUGUUAUCAUCAUGUAAAUCUAUUAGAAGUUAAGCUAAAUUAUCAGUUCUUCUUUACAUAUGUGGUUAAGACUCUAUUCUGCAAAGUAUAUCUCGAACUGGGAAGUGUAUAUUUUUAUUCACAUUUUUACUUUAGUAAUUAAAGUUCAUUUGUCAUUUCAUUUUCAAUGUUUGAGUUUAGAUUGCAACACUGAUGUUAUAGGAGUGUCCAAUUUAAAAUAGUUCAGUUUCCUUGUGAACUAAUAUGUAGUUUUGGUUGUAAAUUAAUUCCAGUGUAGUUUGAACUUUGUAAGAAACCUUAUACCGGAUUGUAGUUUGUUAUUUUCUUUGGUCUUAUGAUUGCUUUGUUUCACUAAAUAUCAAGUUGGUGUUUUGAUUUUGCAUUUGAAUUAGAAGCAGUGGUUGAGUCGCGUCGUUGCUAUGCAUAAGUAGUAAAAGAUUGGUUUGAGUUUAGUUGGUUUCGUAAUAAGAUUGGAACUAAUGGAAAUGGGUCCAACUUCUUAUAAAAAAUUAGUAAAGUAGGCUGCCUCCUUUAAUAUCACCACAAGUCCACAUUUUAUUAGAUUUAAAUAAUGUAAAUUAGUAGAAAUAAUCUUCUUACACUAGUCUCAUCUUUUAAAUUAGUAAUAGCGAUAAUUGUAAAGCAAAUCCAAUUAACCAUACACUACCCAUAUGUAUGUUUUUUUAAAAGUGGAAAACGAACAAUCAAUCUACAAAGAAAAAUAUUCUUCUUCUUUAAUUAGUUCCAUAACAUGGUCCUUAAAGCUAGUUAAUUAUUUGUUUCAGAAAAUUUGUAAUCGUCUAGUUAACCUUAAAAAUAAAGCAAAAGAUUUUUUUAACGUCACUCUUUUAUUAGUCAACUAAAUAAAAUUUUUUAGAUUUAGUCUACUAAUUAAAUUCACAGAAGUUAGAUGUCUUUUAUAUUAAAUAACUCAAUCACUCAGUGAUGAGUUUUCGAUGUCUUUGCCUUAUAUUGGAUGAUCUAACAAACUUGUUGUCAAGAAUUUGAUAGGGAACCUGACACACUUGGUACACAUUACAAAUGAACAGAUUCCAGCCUGGACUCCAGCUAAUGUGAACUAUUGCAAGUGUAGAAAAUGAAGAAACAAGUUAAGGACCUGAUCCCUUGUGUUUCACUAACAACAAUACGAAAGUCAACUGUGCACAACUGGAAAGUGACUUCCACAGAAACAGUGCACACAGUGCAGCAGUUUUGCAGUCACUUGCCUUUGACCUACCGAGUGCUUACAUCAUUCAAGUGAUGUCAUCAAGGGUGUUCAAUUCUCAAGAGCUUGAAGAACAAAGUUAAACGCUACUACGGACCAGUUCCUAAAUCUAGUAUUUUAUUGUCCUUAGUUGAGUUGUAACUUUGUGAUUGUUCUUAUUGUAAUUACUAAAUUGCUUAGGAACCCUCGUGUAAAACCAUAAACUUUUUGAGUUUGUGUUGUGACUAGAGUUAGUCAUGAAUUAAAGUCUUUGUAACUAGUGAGUGAUAAAGUAGCUUGUGGUAAGAGUAUCACAAGUUAGUUGAGUUGAAGUCCUUGUAAUAGAGUCAUUACAAAGUGGCAUGUAAUAGAGUGUUUACAAGUUAGUGAAGUUGAAAGCCU